UACAGGGGGUGCAAACGUUGCUCGGAAUUAUUGGGCGUAAAGCGCGCGUAGGCGGCUCGUUGCGUCGGCUGUGAAAACCCGCAGCUCAACUGUGGGCUUGCAGCUGAUACGGGCGGGCUGGGAUUCGGUAGGGGAGACUGGAAUUCCUGGUGUAGCGGUGAAAUGCGCAGAUAUCAGGAGGAACAUCGGUGGCGAAGGCGGGUCUCUGGGCCGAUAUCGACGCUGAGGAGCGAAAGCGUGGGGAGCGAACAGG
RNAcentral lists this ribosomal RNA (253 nucleotides) under uncultured bacterium. Its description in RNAcentral is "partial 16S ribosomal RNA". It matches the Rfam family "Bacterial small subunit ribosomal RNA", at positions 524 to 776 of the family's 1533-position model. The record is from RNAcentral.